CAUCGACUACAUUCGCUUUCUGCAACACAGCAACCAGAAACUCAAGCAGGAGAACCUAAGUCUGCGCACUGCUGUCCACAAAAGCAAAUCACUGAAGGAUCUGGUGUCGGCCUGUGGCAGUGGAGGGAACACAGACGUGCUCAUGGAGGGCGUGAAGACUGAGGUGGAGGACACACUGACCCCACCCCCCUCGGAUGCUGGCUCACCUUUCCAGAGCAGCCCCUUGUCCCUUGGCAGCAGGGGCAGUGGCAGCGGUGGCAGUGGCAGUGACUCGGAGCCUGACAGCCCAGCCUUUGAGGACAGCAAGGUUGGGCCCUGCCACGGUGCCCCCUUCCCCACUCCCAGCCAUAUCCUCUGAGCCUCAGGACAGGGCCGGGAAGACCCUAACAGAUCCUACCUCCCAUUUCAUAGACAGAAUAACUGAGGCCUGGAGCCAUGUGGGGUCCCACAGUAAGGUGGGCAGAAUCCUGACCCCC
Molecule: small RNA, 476 nt
Filed under: Pongo abelii (Sumatran orangutan)
Lineage: Eukaryota; Metazoa; Chordata; Mammalia; Primates; Hominidae
Description: retained intron
Source: RNAcentral